This 253-nucleotide ribosomal RNA is filed under the name uncultured bacterium. Its description in RNAcentral is "partial 16S ribosomal RNA". It matches the Rfam family "Bacterial small subunit ribosomal RNA", at positions 524 to 776 of the family's 1533-position model. The record is from RNAcentral.
UACGUAGGUCCCGAGCGUUGUCCGGAUUUAUUGGGCGUAAAGGGAGCGUAGGCGGACUUUUAAGUGAGAUGUGAAAUACUCGGGCUCAGCUUGAGUGCUGCAUUUCAAACUGGAAGUCUAGAGUGCAGGAGAGGAGAAUGGAAUUCCUAGUGUAGCGGUGAAAUGCGUAGAGAUUAGGAAGAACACCAGUGGCGAAGGCGAUUCUCUGGACUGUAACUGACGCUGAGGCUCGAAAGCGUGGGGAGCAAACAGG